GCGCCCGUAGCUCAGCUGGAUAGAGUACUGCCCUCCGAAGGCAGGGGUCGUGGGUUCGAAUCCCGCCGGGCGCACCA
RNAcentral lists this transfer RNA (77 nucleotides) under Rhodanobacter thiooxydans. Its description in RNAcentral is "tRNA-Arg". It matches the Rfam family "tRNA". From Rfam's summary of the family: Transfer RNA (tRNA) molecules are approximately 80 nucleotides in length. Their secondary structure includes four short double-helical elements and three loops (D, anti-codon, and T loops). Further hydrogen bonds mediate the characteristic L-shaped molecular structure. tRNAs have two regions of fundamental functional importance: the anti-codon, which is responsible for specific mRNA codon recognition, and the 3' end, to which the tRNAs corresponding amino acid is attached (by aminoacyl-tRNA synthetases). tRNAs cope with the degeneracy of the genetic code in two manners: having more than one tRNA (with a specific anti-codon) for a particular amino acid; and 'wobble' base-pairing, i.e. permitting non-standard base-pairing at the 3rd anti-codon position. The record is from RNAcentral. RNAcentral also lists the same sequence under 41 other names. Lineage: Bacteria; Pseudomonadati; Pseudomonadota; Gammaproteobacteria; Lysobacterales; Rhodanobacteraceae.